GAUGCGUCAACUUCCGGUGUAGUUUUAUACCAUUUUAUACCUUAAAUGACGUCAUUUCCGCAAUUAUUUAAUAGGAACUGAUUUGACUUACUUCCGUUUGCCGCCAUUUUAGUCACCUGGGGGCGAGCUUGCUCGGAGUUCUUCAUAGCGUCUUUAACUUCCAAACUAGCAACAUCGUAAGCAGAAACUCUGCUCAGAUUUUUACUGAAAUAAUUUAUUUCUCAACGUUCUUAUACUAAGUUUAAAAUUAAAAAGUGUAAUUGACCGCGCGUGUGUGACCGCGAACGACAUGUACGUGAUGGUGGUUGGCGCCAAAGGGGACGAGUGUCUUCCGGACGACGAGCAGGUGGACCCAGAGCGUCGGAUACCGGAGAAACUCGGACCCCGGCGAGAUUCAAAACGGAUGAAACGAGCAAAUACAUAAGCCUCAAAAUAACUCCCUUCGAUUUAGAACAAAAAGCCAAGGAUUCCAAAUCAGUCCCUUCAGGUCCCCUUGACGACCAAUAAGUCAAAUGACCAUCCACUUAGCAAAUUCUAUGGAAGCUGCCUUUGAGCGUACCUAUCUUGGGCAUUGGCAGGCGUCAUCAUUCUGCGGAGGUCAACCUGUUACCUGACAAUGGUUCCAGGGAUGCGUCUGCCAUUCACUUCCAAGCCGGUGCUUGCCCCUGCACCUGCAACGCCGUGAUUUAUUCAGCGUCUUAACACUCUUGACUGUCUAGCGCUGACCAAAUAAGAAUAGCAAAGUCAAGUGACUUUCCACUCAGCAAAUUCUACGGAGGCUGCCUUUGAGCGUAUCUUAGGCAGUGGCAGGCGUCAUCAGACUGCGGAGGUCAACCUGUUACCUGACAAUGGUUCCAGGGAUGCGUCUGCCAUUCACCUCCAAGCCGGUGCUUGUCCCUUCAACGCCGUGCUUUAUUCAGCGUUUUAACACUCUUGACUGUCUAACGCUGACCAAAUAAACCGAAAUCCUGUUAAAA
Molecule: long non-coding RNA, 977 nt
Organism: Ostrinia nubilalis (European corn borer)
Lineage: Eukaryota; Metazoa; Arthropoda; Insecta; Lepidoptera; Crambidae
Exons: 2
Source: RefSeq, a predicted model, not a curated record